This 402-nucleotide ribosomal RNA is filed under the name uncultured bacterium. RNAcentral's name for it is "bacterial SSU rRNA". It matches the Rfam family "Bacterial small subunit ribosomal RNA", at positions 356 to 773 of the family's 1533-position model. The record is from RNAcentral.
GAGGAAUUUUCCGCAAUGGGGGAAACCCUGACGGAGCAACGCCGCGUGAACGAAGAAGUCUUUCGGGAUGUAAAGUUCUUUUCUGUGGGAAGAAAGAAAGACGGUACCACAGGAAUAAACAUCGGCUAACUACGUGCCAGCAGCCGCGGUAAUACGUAGGAUGCAAGCGUUGUCCGGAAUUACUGGGCGUAAAGGGCGAGCAGGUGGCACUACAAGUCUGAUGUAAAAUCUCCCGGCUUAACUGGGAGGGGCCAUUGGAAACUGUAGAGCUGGAGUGCAGGAGAGGCUAACGGAAUUCCCGGUGUAGUGGUGAAAUGCGUAGAUAUCGGGAGGAACACCAGUGGCGAAGGCGGUUAGCUGGCCUGUAACUGACACUGAGGCGCGAAGGCUAGGGGAGCGAAC